Long non-coding RNA from Agrilus planipennis (emerald ash borer), 486 nucleotides. RefSeq lists it as uncharacterized. The transcript has 2 exons. NCBI's taxonomy places the organism in Eukaryota, Metazoa, Arthropoda, Insecta, Coleoptera, Buprestidae. The record is from RefSeq and is a predicted model, not a curated record.
UCACAUGGUCAAUUGUAUGUUGCCUGUUCCCGUGUUGGAAAACCAACAGAUUUGUUUAUCUAUGCGCCAGGUAAUCAAACAAAAAACAUCGUAUACCACAAAGCACUACAAUAAUAAUAAUAAUAAUAAUCUCUCGCUGGAUGGCUGGAUCAAGGGCCAGAUACAGAAGGCGGUAAUCCUGGACACGGCGCGCAUUGUCAGGAGGUUCCUCUCUCUGCGGCCCUAACCGCCGGUAGCUUGGGCCCUGCCCCGUUGCUGGCGGCACCCUAGGUUAGGUUUUUUAUACUGUGUUUAUAUUUUGUACUGUAUUUUUUAUUUUACUUUUUAUAUGCAUUUUAUAAAAAACCUAGCCUAAGAUCUAAAGUAAAUAAAGGAGAUAAUAAUGAACAUUCAAUGUCAUCAUAUGUCAUUUCAUUUUAGCAGCGAUAAUUAUUCUGUUUAAAUAAGUUUAAAAUCCCCGGUCGAAGACGGGGCGAGCAGCUAGUA